GUGUGUGUGUGUGUGUGUGUGUGUGUGUGUGUGUGUUGGGGAGCGCGCGCGCACACACACACACACACACACACAG
Molecule: microRNA precursor, 76 nt
Filed under: Podarcis lilfordi (Lilford's wall lizard)
Lineage: Eukaryota; Metazoa; Chordata; Lepidosauria; Squamata; Lacertidae
Source: RNAcentral